This is a long non-coding RNA of Chiroxiphia lanceolata (lance-tailed manakin), 549 nucleotides long. RefSeq lists it as uncharacterized. The transcript is spliced from 3 exons. NCBI's taxonomy places the organism in Eukaryota, Metazoa, Chordata, Aves, Passeriformes, Pipridae. The record is from RefSeq and is a predicted model, not a curated record.
CGCCGUGCCCUCGCCCCCACCUGUCCCGGGGGUCGAUCCAGCUGGUCUGCUUGGUGUUGUGAUCGAUGUAGAACACUUUGCCGUCGUAAUCCCUUGCCUCCUCCCAGCCAUCGGAAGCAUCGGUGGAAAAUACACGUACACCAUGUGUGCCCUGAACCCUUGCGGCCUGAAAAGCAGGCAGCUAAGUCGCAUUAAGUAUAGAAACCAGGUGUGAGUUACUGUGUGUUUAUCUCGCAUUUGCCACAGGAGAAGAGUAUCCCAGGCCGGUUACCAUGGUUCAGCUGAUAGAAGAGACAAUUUACACUUAUUAAGUACUGGACUUGUUCAGUGCAUAACAAAUUUUUGCAUUUUGCUUCAGAGGCCACAUAUCUGACAGGCAUUGAAGUAACUAAUUUACAGCUCUCCAAGUCCUAUCUGCUCCUAAAUAGAAAAAAGUACCAACAAGAUAUGAUUUUAAUUUAGCUAAUUGUCAAUCUGGUACAGGUAAGACCUUUAUUAUUUUAUUCAUUCUACUUAUUUUACUGUGUAACACUGUCUCCACAUGGCCCA